GCCGGGUGCGGUGGCGCGCGCCUGUAAUCCAAGUUACCGGGAGGCUGAGGCUGGAGGAUCGUUUGAGCUCAGGAGCUCUGAGCUGCAGCGGACUAUGCCGAUCAGGUGUCCGCGCUAAGUUCGGUAUCGAUAUGGUGCUCCUGAGGGAGCCCGGGACCACCAGGUCGUCUAAGGAGGGGUGCACCGGCCCAGGUCGGAGACGGAGCAGGUCAAAGCCCCCGUGCCGCUCAGUAGUGGGAUCGCGCCUGUGAAUAGACGCUGUAGUGCAGCCUGAGUAAUACAGCGGGACCCAGUCUUUU
This is an unclassified non-coding RNA of Amphiprion ocellaris (clown anemonefish), 299 nucleotides long. It matches the Rfam family "Metazoan signal recognition particle RNA". From Rfam's summary of the family: The signal recognition particle (SRP) is a universally conserved ribonucleoprotein. The record is from Ensembl. NCBI's taxonomy places the organism in Eukaryota, Metazoa, Chordata, Actinopteri, Pomacentridae.